Non-coding RNA from Microcebus murinus (gray mouse lemur), 1042 nucleotides. Lineage: Eukaryota; Metazoa; Chordata; Mammalia; Primates; Cheirogaleidae. The record is from RefSeq and is a predicted model, not a curated record.
UGCCCAUCCUUACGGGCAGUCCCUGGGGACCGCUGAGAUGUUUCCAAGAACAAAGUCGUGACCUUUAAUUUAAUUUAUUAAACAAGUACUGGUGGUGUGUCUACCACAUGCCAGCACGAGGCUCAGUUCUGGGGAUAUGGAGAUUCGUAAGACACAGUCUCGCCAUCUUGCACCGGGUCUGGAGGGGACACAGACAUUGGGAAGGACACUUGGACUUGAAAGACACCAACUCCCUGGAGCUCCUGAAUCUACCUGUGACAUCUGCAGUGCUCCUGGGCAGGUGGCCUACCAUGCCCAGAGCCUGGAAACAAGGUCAGGAACGUGAGCAUCACCGGGAGACAAGAUCUGUUAUAUGAGGUGAAGGGGAAGGAGGUGAUCUAUCUGAUGGACCAAGCUGGGAUCACCUGCCACUCAAGAAUCUGGAAGUGAACUUAGCUUCGCAGAGACCAUGUGGUCUGUGAUGAAUGAAGAAAAGAUGAGUCUUCAUAUAAAGAAUCACUAUGCAAUCAAAUGGAAGCAACUUAAUUGGCCGGUUAUUUUGGUGUCAUCUAAGAACAUCAUGCCCUCUUUCAUGACAUAAUUUGAGCUUGAUAAUUUCACCAUUCAAAGAGCUGUGUUCCGGACUUACAAUUUUAUUUUAUUUUUUGGUCAGGGGUAAUUGGGCCAAAAUUGAAAUUUAAUAAAAGUGACAGCAAUAAAAGCCACAAUGUUAAAAUGGCAUUGUGCAAGAGUACAAGGAGGAUGAGAAAGCAUUUCUGGGAAAUACUCAAAUGGAUAUUAGAAAAUGGCCGACUAUUUUUUUAAAACGAGAGAAUGAACACCAUCUUCUACAAGUAAGACUGUAGAUAAUAUAAACUGCUGCUUGCUUCCUUUUCCCCAGUUGGCCUGGGAGAAUCCAUGUGCUCGUCUAAUAUGUACUUGUUCAAGUAGGUUCAGAAUCACUAACAAGCCUCUAUUGAAUAUCCACUAUGUAAAACACACGUGUUAGACCAGAAUAUUACACAGUAGCAGAAGGAUUUCUGCUCUUGAAAGGCUUAAAAGA